Long non-coding RNA from Dreissena polymorpha, 765 nucleotides. RefSeq lists it as uncharacterized. Lineage: Eukaryota; Metazoa; Mollusca; Bivalvia; Myida; Dreissenidae. The transcript has 4 exons. The record is from RefSeq and is a predicted model, not a curated record.
ACCAGAUUCGGGGUCAUAUGAGCUGCAGGAGGUUAAAUACAACCAGAACCUGGCCAAGGCUGCAGACUGUGUGAAGGGAAUCAGCCGACCUGCACAGUUGCUUGCAUGCUGGAGUAAUGUGCUCUCAAGGCAGAACCAUGGAUUGUUGCUCUGGCACCACAAAGAGUUGGACAAUAUAUUGGACACACAAUCGCCCGUUAAAGAGAUAGAAAUUAAAAAGAGAAAACGCUUAACUCCACAGUCCUUCUCAGUAAUGCGGUAAUCUAUAAUUAUGUACAAACACCAGGAGUAGCAGUCAGUGCAGGGCAGCAAUAACAUCCUAUGAUCAGAGAAAUAACUCAAUACCAUUGCGUGGAAGUUUCUUGUCACUGAAUAAAACACUUAAUGAAAAUAUAAAUAAAACAUGCAUGCCCCCCAUAUGGGCUCUCCAUUGUAGUGACAGCCAUUGUGUGAAUAUGUUUUUUGUCACUGUGACCUUGACCUUUGACCUAGUGACCUGAAAAUCAAUAGGGGUCAUUUGCGAGUCAUGAUAAAUCUACCUAUCAAGUUUCAUGAUCCUAGGAAUAAGCGUUCUUCAGUUAUCAUCCGGAAACCAUUUUACUAUUUCGGGUCACCGUGAACUUGACCUUUGACCUAGUGACCUCAAAAUCGAUAGGGGUCAUCUGCGAGUCAUGAUCAAUGUACCUAUGAAGUUUCAUGAUCCUAGGCAUAAGCGUUCUUGAGUUAUCAUCCGGAAACCAUUUUACUAUUUUGGGUCACCAUGAC